AUUGAACGCUGGCGGCAGGCCUAACACAUGCAAGUCGAGCGGUUGACGGGAGCUUGCUCCCUGAUUCAGCGGCGGACGGGUGAGUAAUGCCUAGGAAUCUGCCUAUUAGUGGGGGACAACGUUUCGAAAGGAACGCUAAUACCGCAUACGUCCUACGGGAGAAAGCAGGGGACCUUCGGGCCUUGCGCUAAUAGAUGAGCCUAGGUCGGAUUAGCUUGUUGGUGAGGUAAUGGCUUACCAAGGCGACGAUCCGUAACUGGUCUGAGAGGAUGAUCAGUCACACUGGAACUGAGACACGGUCCAGACUCCUACGGGAGGCAGCAGUGGGGAAUAUUGGACAAUGGGCGAAAGCCUGAUCCAGCCAUGCCGCGUGUGUGAAGAAGGUCUUCGGAUUGUAAAGCACUUUAAGUUGGGAGGAAGGGUUGUAGAUUAAUACUCUGCAAUUUUGACGUUACCGACAGAAUAAGCACCGGCUAACUCUGUGCCAGCCGCCGCGGUAA
RNAcentral lists this ribosomal RNA (500 nucleotides) under uncultured bacterium. RNAcentral's name for it is "partial 16S ribosomal RNA". It matches the Rfam family "Bacterial small subunit ribosomal RNA", at positions 30 to 523 of the family's 1533-position model. The record is from RNAcentral.